GAGUUCUUAACUCAGUUGGUAGAGUAUUUGGCUUACAUCCAAGCGGUCGGCGGUUCAAGUCCGUCAGAACUC
Molecule: transfer RNA, 72 nt
Filed under: Marophrys sp. SRT127
Lineage: Eukaryota; Centroplasthelida; Acanthocystida
Description: tRNA-Val
Rfam family: tRNA
About the family: Transfer RNA (tRNA) molecules are approximately 80 nucleotides in length.
Source: RNAcentral